GGAAUCUUGGACAAUGGGGGCAACCCUGAUCCAGCCAUGCCGCGUGAGCGAUGAAGGCCCUAGGGUUGUAAAGCUCUUUCACCCGUGAAGAUAAUGACGGUAGCGGGAGAAUAAGCCCCGGCUAACUCCGUGCCAGCAGCCGCGGUAGUACGGAGGGGGCUAGCGUUGUUCGGAAUUACUGGGCGUAAAGCGCACGUAGGCGGCUUUGUAAGUUAGAGGUGAAAGCCCGGAGCUCAACUCCGGAAUUGCCUUUAAGACUGCAUCGCUAGAAUUGUGGAGAGGUGAGUGGAAUUCCGAGUGUAGAGGUGAAAUUCGUAGAUAUUCGGAAGAACACCAGUGGCGAAGGCGACUCACUGGACACAUAUUGACGCUGAGGUGCGAAAGCGUGGGGAGCAAA
This 397-nucleotide ribosomal RNA is filed under the name uncultured bacterium. RNAcentral describes it as "bacterial SSU rRNA". It matches the Rfam family "Bacterial small subunit ribosomal RNA", at positions 358 to 772 of the family's 1533-position model. The record is from RNAcentral.